UCCACAAAGCCUCUUUCUCACUUUUGACCUCGGAUCAGGUAGGGAUACCCG
RNAcentral lists this ribosomal RNA (51 nucleotides) under Phaeosphaeriopsis sp. RNAcentral describes it as "partial 28S ribosomal RNA". The record is from RNAcentral. Lineage: Eukaryota; Fungi; Ascomycota; Dothideomycetes; Pleosporales; Phaeosphaeriaceae.